This 301-nucleotide ribosomal RNA is filed under the name uncultured bacterium. RNAcentral describes it as "partial 16S ribosomal RNA". It matches the Rfam family "Bacterial small subunit ribosomal RNA", at positions 509 to 807 of the family's 1533-position model. The record is from RNAcentral.
CAGUAGCCGCGGGAAUACCGAGGGUGCGAGCGUUAAUCGGAUUUACUGGGCGUAAAGCGUGCGUAGGCGGCUUUUUAAGUCGGAUGUGAAAUCCCUGAGCUUAACUUAGGAAUUGCAUUCGAUACUGGGAAGCUAGAGUAUGGGAGAGGAUGGUAGAAUUCCAGGUGUAGCGGUGAAAUGCGUAGAGAUCUGGAGGAAUACCGAUGGCGAAGGCAGCCAUCUGGCCUAAUACUGACGCUGAGGUACGAAAGCAUGGGGAGCAAACAGGAUUAGAGACCCCGGUAGUCCCUGUCUCUUAUAC